This 444-nucleotide ribosomal RNA is filed under the name Triticum aestivum (bread wheat). Its description in RNAcentral is "partial small subunit ribosomal RNA". The record is from RNAcentral. Lineage: Eukaryota; Viridiplantae; Streptophyta; Magnoliopsida; Poales; Poaceae.
AUGACAAUCACCAGCAAUAUUCCUCCAAGGUACGGCGUUGAGUUAGCAAGAGACCCAAAUGACAAGAUCAUGAACUGCUGGAUCAGGGCACCUCCAGAUUUUCCCAAUGGGUUGCAUACCACAUCUAUUGCUGCCUUACCUUUGACCUAUAUGAAAAUGUUCUGUAGUGCCCCAACGAAGACCGCAGCAAGCAAAGGCGUCAUCCCAAACGUGGCUAGAAGAGGAGUGAGUGGCUCACCAAACAGAAGCAGUGAGAAGAAUCCAACUCCAGUGACAAGCAACACUGCAGGGGUGAUUGUAGCUGCAACUCCCCACCCGAAUUUUCUAAGAAUUAAUCUCCCCAACAACAUCAUUGUAAACGUAGCUAUGCCAGUAGCCGUUGAGAAAUCACCCAUGAAUGAAGAAUACUCGUUAGGACUUGGGAACUGCAACAGAACAACAUAA